AAAGUUUUUUGAAAUUUAAUUUGUUUUUUAAAGGUACUUAAUUAUAGUGGAGUUUAAUUAACCUAUAUAAAGACUUUAGAAAUUGCCACCAUAGACAUGUUUUUCUAAAAAAUAAAAAAUAAAUAAAUAAAAAAAUAUAAAAAAAAUCCAUGAGUUUAGAUAAAGCCAAACAGUGAGACAUUUAGUUAAAAUGUGGAAACAUGGGAAAAGGCAGACAGAAGAGCCCUCCCCCGCACUGCAGAGACCUUGAAGGUUGGAGAGCAGAGAGGAGAAGUUUUAGAAGGGAGCCAGGACGAGCAAAGAUAACAGAAUGUGUAGAUAACAGUCACUGAGUGGAGACAAAAGGGAGAAUUGGACAUGUGGAAAAUUAAAGGGGCGCUCCUACAUGAUAAUGUCAGAACAGAAGGAUAAUAUACUAAUCUUACCUAAGUCAUUAUUUAGAGUAGGUAAGGUUGUUACCUGGGCAGAGCCAGGUAUCAAAAGGGGGAUAGGUAAAUUGUGGUCUAGGAUAGGAUGGGGCCUAUUGGAUAAGAAACUAAUCAUUUAAAAAAAAUGUAGCUAAACAAAUGGGCAUAGAAGGUAAAGAUAUAAUCAGAUAAAACAUAUGAGAAACUGUUUGUUAACCAAGCCUGUAUGUCCAGCAUUUUAUGCAUUAUAGGUGAACUACAGGUGAAGUCACUCAAUCCAGUCCCAGAGGCUUGUUGGGGGGACCAUACCAAGGUCUCCUGGUGACAGCUAGCUGAAAGAGCUACCCGGAUUCAUAUCGCACGGCGGGAGGGUAAGACACAUUUACACUGUCGAACAAUAAACAGUGUUCGAGAGGAGAACUGGAAUUAACAGAAUUCCGGGGGCCAUCUCUCGAAUGAAGUAACCCUCCCUGUCCUGUCACCCCUGUUUUUGUUCUGACCCGUGGAGUGCUGAAUGUAUGUCUACAGAACAAGUGGACGAAAAUUAUAAAUGAAAUUAUAUUAAAUUGGGAGGGUGUCCGUAUGGGGAUUACAUGAUAACCGACUUGGGACAGUUCUGGGAUUGGAGAAGAGGG
Molecule: long non-coding RNA, 1042 nt
Organism: Oncorhynchus tshawytscha (Chinook salmon)
Lineage: Eukaryota; Metazoa; Chordata; Actinopteri; Salmoniformes; Salmonidae
Source: Ensembl